CACCCUUUGUGAUAAUGAAGGUAUACAGAAGCAUGAUCUCAAUUUCAAGGAAAACGGAAGAGGUAGUGGAAGUUGUUAUGCAACCUGGUCGAGAGAGUUAACUCUCAACAGUGGCGUUCCGUCAGGGCCAGCAAGGCCUUCUCUGCUGGCCUAAACAUUCUCAGAAAAGUAAAUUGAAUAAAUGUACUUUUCUGAGAAUAACAUCAAUGUAAUUUAUGUUAUUUUAUUUUCAUAAAUAUGUAAACAAAAUUAUCUGUAUUCUUUACGUCAUAUUAUUUCCACUUAGUCGAGUGGUUUAUUUUAAAUAACAUUGAAAGCCACUCAAUAAAUAACUUAUUUAACUAUGGUAGAGUUUUUAACCAAUCAUAUUUCAGACAGCUUGUGUUGCCAGGUCAAUUAAAAUUGCUCGGGGCUUACAGAUUAAACAGAGCAGGCCCCUGUGCGCUGUAAAUGAACGAGCACAGUCAACUUGCAAUAGCCAAUCAGAUCACGACACCGGGGUUACGUCGGCACUGGACGUGCGCGUUCGGUGAUUGGAUUAGCGCCUGCUAGAGGGUGCUGUUGCUGCAUUUUGACCCAAAAUGGCCGAAGGAGAAGACGUUGAUCUGGUUGCAGGACUACUUUGCACACAAUUUUCAAGACGUACCUUCCACUGGAUUUACCUAUUUAAGUUGUUUUACCAAGGCAGCAAGGAAACAUCAAAGCACGGCUGGGCACUUACAAGCUACGGUGCGUUUAAAAACAUUUGGGGACACUCGCGUAGAUCUGCAGCUCAGUGAACAGGCACUACAUUGGUGAGUAAAUGAAUUUUAUUUUACAUUUCUUCUUGUUAUUUUAUUUCGUUAGUAUUAAUGGUCAACAAAUAAAAUGACAAAGAUACAAAAAUGUAUCAAAUAAAUCAGCUCACCUGCAAUUUAUAAUGGCGCAUUGUAGUCAGCUGUGUGCACUAAAAUUCGUUCAAUCUCAGCUGCUCAACAUUUUCAAUUAGUUGCUGUUGUAUAGCCUAUUCUCAAAAUGCAAAUGAUCUGUUAAUUUCAUUUUCAAAGAAUAGUUUGUUUUGUUAUCGUGUGGUUGGUGUCUUAUAUGAAACUGCGACAUUGCGCAAUUUAUUGGACAGACUUGUUUAUGAUCACACAGCGUAAUUUGGGUGGCAUUUUAUUUAGUAUUUUUUAAAUCUUUUUAUUUUUGACAAUAUCUGUAAAUUUAGUUUCCUGCUCUUAAUUGUGAAUGCAUACUUGAUGGUUUUAAAUGCUCCUGAAAUUAAGAGCUGCCUGACAAGCCUA
Long non-coding RNA from Hippocampus zosterae (dwarf seahorse), 1283 nucleotides. RefSeq lists it as uncharacterized. The record is from RefSeq and is a predicted model, not a curated record. NCBI's taxonomy places the organism in Eukaryota, Metazoa, Chordata, Actinopteri, Syngnathiformes, Syngnathidae. The transcript has 2 exons.